Molecule: long non-coding RNA, 9532 nt
Organism: Loxodonta africana (African savanna elephant)
Lineage: Eukaryota; Metazoa; Chordata; Mammalia; Proboscidea; Elephantidae
Exons: 2
Source: RefSeq, a predicted model, not a curated record
UUUUUUCCCCCACUGUUCUCCUGCUCCAUCAGGGACUCUCUGUUGUGUUCCUUGUCAGGGCAGUCAUUGGUCGUAGCCUGGCACCAUCUAGUUUUUCUGGUCUCAGGUUAAUGCAGUCUCUGGUUUAUGUGACCCUUUCUGUCUCUUGGGCUCAUAAUUACCUUGUGCCUUUGGUGUUCUUCAUUCUCCUUUGCUCCAGGUGGGUUGAGACCAAUUGAUGCACCUUAGAUGGCCGCUUGCUAGCGUUUAAGACCCCAGACGCCACUCUCCAAAGCGGGAUGCAGUAUGUUUCCUUAAUAGAUUUUGUUAUGCCAAUUGACCUAGAUGUACUCAGGGGACAUUUCUGGCUUACAGUUUAAAGAUUAUCUCAGGGCAAUAGCUUUAGGGGCUUAUCCACCCUCCCUGGCUCCAGAAAGUCUGAAGUCCAAGAGAAUUUGAGAUUCUGUUCUGCAUUUUCUCCCUUUUAAUUACGAUUCUUCUGUAGAGUCUUUGACCAAAAUGUUCAGUAAUGGUAGUAGUACAGCACCAUUCAGUUCUUCUGGCCUCAUGGCAAAGAAGGCAUUUGCUCAUGGCGACAAUUAACUACACAUUCUAUUUCCUCCUCCUAUUCCUGACUCUCCUUCUUCCUCUUAGAAAUAUUUUUGAUUUAGUGGUGGGGAAAGAAAGCUGAGAAGUGAUCUAACUUUCACAGAGAUCCUUUUCACAUAAAAAGAUAAUAGAUACAUUUUUGAGAAAUUAUGGAGAGAUGGGAACAUUUCCGAAUUAUUUACAUAGCAUUUUCAGAGAUCCCUUAUCUUCUGAUUUCAACUGAGUUUCUCUACUUCAUCCUUAACCUUUAACCCAAGCUUCUUUUGUUUUUUAAAAAAUCUGAACAUACACUCUCCAAUUUAUUUGUGAACAUUUAAAUCCCACCUCUGACAUUACUAGCUGUAAGACUUUGGAUAAGUUUCUUAACCUUCCUAAGCAUCAGUUUACUUAUCUAUAAAAUGGGGAUAACAAUAGUACUUAUUCCACAGUAUGUGUGGCAUAUAAAUAUUCAACAAAUAUUAGUUAAUAGUUAUUCUUAAUUACUUACAGUUACUUAUAAGUGAAGGAUUUAUGGAGCAGAUAAGAGUCAUUAGGUACCAGAAUGGGUUACCAAUGGGUAAUUGUGAAAUUAAUUUCCCUUUCAGUCUGUUAAGAUCAAAAUGGAAAAAUACUUCUUUGGUGGUUGUAUAAAGUUCUCCUCCCUUCUCAUUCUCUGCUAAUGAUUCUGCUUAUUUCAAAGAAAGUAGAAGGAGUCAGAAAAGAACUUUCAAAUGCUCACACUGCAUCUGCAACUUACCUUCAUUUGCUCUCAUAUGCUUUGUCUUCUCAUCUAAACUAAAACUCAGCCUAUUCAUUCCAGCAAAUGUCCCUUCCUCCACCUGAAUCAUUUUUGCCUUGCUAUUGGAUCAUUUUCAUCAGUAUACAAAUAUGUUAUUUCUCCCAUCAAUAAUAACAAAAAACAAAACAUCUUGUCUUGACUCCAACUUGUCUUUCCAGCUACUGCCCCAUUUCUCUGCUCCACUUUACAGCAAAAUUCCCAUGAAAAAGAUGUCUAUUCAAUAUCUUCAAUUCCUCGUCUCUAACUCUCUUGAACAGACUCCUAAGAUUUUCACCUACUUCUUCACUGACACAACUAGUUGAGGUUGUCAAUGACCUCCAUGUUGCCAAAUUCAAUAAUGAAUUCUCUGUCUUCAUUUUCCUCAGCCCAUAACAAGCAGCCUUCCUUUCCGAAAUAUUUUCUUUCCCUGAUUUCCACAGUACUACUCUCACCAGGAGCCCUGGAGGUAUAGUGGUUAAGAGCUCAGCUACUAAUCAAAAGGUUGGCAGUUCAAAUCCACCAGCGCUCCUUAGAAACCCUAUAUGGGGCAGUUCUGCUCUUGUCCUAUAGGGUCGCAAUGAAUUGGAACCUUCUUGAUGGCACCGGACAACAACAACAACUCUCUCUUGGUUUAAACUCCUGCCUUACUGAAUGUUCCUUCUCAGUCCAGGGCCUGGAACAGGUUGUUCUGGUUCAAACCUCUGCUGAGAAUUUGCAUUUCUAACAAGUUCCCUGCUGAGAAUUUGCAUUUCCAUCCCACACAUACUGCAAUCAAAAUCUGUAUUUUAAUAUGAUCCAUAGGUGAUUCUUAUAACUUCCUGGGAACUCCUUAGAAAUGCAGAUUUUCAGCAGGGGUUCAAACUAGAAGUUUAAAGCCCUGUCUUAGUCCCUCCUGCUGAGUUCUACUCAUCUCCACCACCUCCAAAUGCUGGAAUGCCCAGGGUUCAGUUCUCUUUUCUUCUCUAUCUAUGCUCACAUAUGAGGUGAUUUCUAUCAAUCUCAUGGUUUUAAACACAAUCUAUUAAAAAAAAAAAAAUUUUUUUUUUUUUUUUUAUAUGCUGACAACUCCCCAAUUUAUACCUCCAGCCUGGCUUACUCCCUUGAAUGCCGACUCACAUACCAAACUGCCUACUCAAUAACUCCGACUAAAUGUCUAAAAAGCCUACGAAACUUAACGUGUUGAAAUCCAAAACUCUAGAAUGCUUCUGAUCCGGUCUCAAACCUGCUAGUCUUUCAGUCUCUUCUAUCUCAGUUAAUGGCAAUUCCAUUAUUCUAGUUGUUUAGACCAUAAAUCUUGGACGUCUUUUUACUCUUCACUUUCUCUCACACCCCACACCCAAUCCUUAAGUAAAUUCUACCAAUCCUACUUUCAAAAUAUGUCUGUAAUUCAGCCACUCCUCACUAUCUGUACUGCUACUAUCCUGGUCUAAACCUUCACCAUUUUGACCUGGAUUAUUGCUAUAAAACCCACUGCUGUCAGGUUGAUUCUGACUCACAGCAAUCCUAAGGGACAGGGGAGAACUGCCCCAUAGGGUUUCCAAGGCAGUAAAUCUUUGUAGAGGUAGACUGCCACAUUUUUCUCCUGUAGAGCAGCCAGUAGGUUUGAACUGCCAAACUUUUGGUUAGCUGAGUGCUUUACUGCUAUGGUGUAACUGAUUACCUGGUUUCAUCUUUGUCCCACUAAUCUAAACACAGCAGCUAGAGUGAGUGCUUUAAUGCUUAAGUCAGAUCAUGUCCCUCCCUCUGCUUAAAAUCUUUUCAUGGCUUCUCAUCUUACUCAGUAAAAACCAAAGUCCUUUAAUAAGGACCUACAUGAUUUGGCUACCUCUCCCCUCUACCUCUUGCCUCUUAUCACGCUCCUCCUCACUCACUCUGCUCUGGUUAGAGUUGCCUCUUUGCAUUCCCCCUAAAUGUCAAAUGCGCUCCUUGCACCUGCUAUUCCCUUAGAUGACUACAUGGUUCUCUCUCCUAUUUCAUUCAGGUCCCUGUUCAAACAGCAUCUCAUCAAGGAAGCCUACCCUGACACCCUGUAAAACAGUUCUAUCACAAAGCCUAGCACAGAGUAGGCCCACAAGAAGUAUUCAACUGUGUAAGUAAAUUUCCUAGAUAACUGUUGCUCCUUGGACGCAAAAUAUUAAAAAUAUUGAAAGAAAUGUUUCUAAAAUGUAAGUCAGAUUUUCUGAAUGAUACAACUAUUAUUUAACUCUCAGUGACUUGGGUCAUCAUCAUGAAUAAGUCAGUUAUUCUGUCAUGCUAUCUAUCAUACACGGCACUACUGAGGGUUCCCGGGCCAUUUAUCCCUAUAGUCCUUUUUAAAUGGUUAUCAACUAUUAUACUUAAACACCUAAGCUCUGCAUUUGCACGUUUCUUUCAAUCGUCUUAAAAUAAUUAUUUAUCAGUGUUUCAUGUUACUGCCAAUGAAUCUGCCUUAAAGUACCUCAUUCUAGUUUAAAGCACACAUAUAUUGGAGGACCGUGUACAUUAGAAGGAAUCGGUCCACACAAGGCCUUUUUCUAUCUGAAAGUACGGGAGCAUCUGUAAAUGGACUUCAUGAUCUCUGUUUAGACUCCUUUUGCUCUCUGCUGGAUUCCAGCUUAAUUUUCCUUUGAUAUAGAUCGUUUUUGUCUUUUUCUACAAUCUGCUAAAAUGGUAGGAAAGUUGUAUUAGUGUCUAGCCCUCAAGUUUUUUGAUACUAUUCUUCCCCAAUUCACAAAAGGCAUUGAACUAUUCCAUCUUUCAUUUUUAGGGUCUUUCAAAAGAUUUGGGUCUUUUUUAACAGUGGUAGAAUGAUUUGGAAAAGGAUAGCAAGAAUGAUCGUUCAACUUCAAGAAUGUAAUCAAUGUCACUGAAUUCUACCUACAGAAAUGGUUGAGGUGUAUGUUUUGUUAUAUAUAUUUUUACCAUAAUUAAAAACAACCAAAGAACAGAAUGAUGUGGAACUCGUUUUUUCCCCUUAAGGACUCCAUGACACCAUAACUUUAAAUUUUUACUACUCUGUUAUCAAGUGGAUUUUCCUUUUAAAUUCAAUUUCCUAGAAUUCCUGGCCAUGGAGAGUAGCCAAGUAACUGUUAAACCCAAACAGAUGAUAAUACACAUUUAUUUUGGAAUCUGAAAAAAUAUCUGACAUUUAAAAUGUUACUUAUACUUAAAUAAGUGUGUGUGAAAUUAGGAAUUCAAAAGGGUUCAAGGCAAAUCAUAAAGCCAUACUAUGAAGCUGUGGGAGCCCUCGUGGCACGAUGGUUAAGUGCUCAGCUACUAACAGAAAGGUCAGUGGUUCGAAUCUAGCCAGUGGCUCUGUGGAAGAAAAGACCUGGCAAUCUGCUCCCAUAAAGAUAUCAGCCUAGGAAACCCUAUGGGACAGUUCUACUCUGUCCUACAGAGUCACUAUGAGUUAGAACCAACUCGACUGCACGCAACAACAACACAACAUGAAGCUGUGACUGCCACUGGGUUCAACUCUUCCUGAAAGCUCACUCCAUGCUGGGAAUAUACAGCAUUAACUCUCUGCCUGUUGUAAAAAUACCACACAAUCCUUUACCCUUUUCAUAAAAACUUUCUCUGGAAGAGGUAUGUAAACAUUAUUUUAACCAGAGCUUCCCCGAUGGGAUGCACAUUGUAUGUCAAACUGAACUAAAUACAAAGAAUAAGCACUACCAACAAGGAUUAAAACCUUGUUCUUAGUUGAGAAGAUUAGUAAUUAAAGGUGAAAAAGGUAAAAAACUAACCAAAAGCAAAAUUUACCACAGAUAAAUGAGGAUAUUCAUUCUCAGUGACUACGGUCAAUUAAAACUUUGUCUGUCUUACCAGUCGUAUAUCGUUCUGGUUCACCGUUCCUGUCAUUUAGCUCUCCUUUCUUGCUUUUAUACUGAACAUGUCAGUUAACAUCUGAUUUUUCAUAAAGUCCACAUGUUAUCUGCCUCUCCACCCUACUCUUACUCCACACAUAAAUAUGUAAUUAAGGGAAGUGAGCAAGUGUCUUGGGUGUUUGGUGACGUCUGAAUAAACAAAGCUUUAAAAGAAGAAACUAAUCUUUGAAUCAACCACUUGUCUGUCAGUUUGUCAUACUAUGGUAGCUUGAAUGUUGCUGUGAUGCUGGAAGCUAUGCCACCAGUAUUUCAAAUGGUAUCAGGGUCACCCUGGUGGACAGGUUUCAGCAGAGCUUCUAGACUAAGACAGACUAGGAAGAAGGACCUAGCGAUCUACCUCUAAAAAACAGACUGGUGAAAACCUUAAGAAUAGCAGUGGAACUUCAUCUGAUAUAGUGCCCAAUGAUGAGCCUCUCAGGUUGGAAGGCGCUCAAAAUACAACAGAAAAAAGUAGAAAGGAUCUUAAUGACAUGGAUGGAGUCAAGCUUUUGGGACUGUCAUUUGCUGAUGUGGCGACUCAAAAAGAGAAGAAACAGCUGCAAACAUCCAUUAGUAACUGGCAUGUGGAACGUACAAAGUAUGACCUUAGGAAAAUUAGAAGCUGUCAAAAAUAAAAUGGGACGCUUGAAGAUUGAUAUCCUAGGCACUAGUGAGCUGAAAUGGACUGGUGCUGGCCAUUUUGAAUCAGAUAAUCAUAUGGUCUACUAAGCUGGGAAUGAGAAAUUGAAGAGUAAGAGUACUGCAUUUACUGUCAAAAAGAACAUUUCAAGAUCCAUCCUGAAGUACAAUGCUGUUGGUAAUAGGAUAAUAUCCAUAUGCCUACAAGAAAGACCAGUUAAUACGACUAUUAUUCAAAUUUAUGCACCAACCACUAAUGCCAAAGAUGAAGAAAUUAAAGAUUUUUACCAACUUCUGCAGCUAGAAAUUGAUCAAACAUGCCAUCAAGACAGACUGAUAAUUACUGGUGAUUGGAAUGAAAAAGUUGGAAAUGAAGAAGGAUCAGUAUUUGGAAAACAUGGUGACAGAAAUGUCGCUAGAAAUCAGAUGGCAAAUUUUGUGAGACCAAUGACCCAUUUACUGGAAAUACCUUUUGUCAACAUGAAUGGCGACUGUACACAUGGACUUCACCAGAUGAAAUACACAGGAAUCAAAUCGACUACAUUUGUGGAAAGACAAUGGAGAAGCUCAAUAUCAUCAGUCAGAACAAGGCCAAGAGCCAACUAUAGAACAAUCAAUCACUAAUAUGCAAGUUCAAGUUGAAGCUGAAGAAAAGUAAAACAAAUUUACCAGAGCCAAAGUACAACCUUGAGUAUAUCCCAUCUGAAUUUAGAGACCAUUUCAAGAAUAGAUUUGACUCACUGAACACUAAUGACCGAAGAAGACCAGAUGAGUUGUGGGAUAGACAUCAAGGAUAUCAUACAUGAAAAAGCAAAAGGGUAUUAAAAGACAGAAAGAAAAGACCAAAAUGGACGUCAGAAGAGACUCUCAAACUUGCCUUGAAGAUAGUACAGCUAAAGCCAAUGGAAGAAAUGAUGAAGUAAAAGAGCUGAACGGAAGAUUUCAAAGGGCGGCUCAGGAAGACAAAGUAUUAUAAUGAAAUGUGUAAAGACAUGGAAUUAGAAAAACCAAAAGGGAAGAACACACUUGGCAUUUCUCAAGGUGAAAGAAAUAAAGAAAAAAUUCAAGCCUCGGGUUGCAAAAGUGAAGUAUUCUAUAGGCAAAAGUAUUGAAUGAUGCAGGAAGCAUCAAAAGAAGAAGAAAGGAAUACACAGAAUCACUGUACCAAAAAGAACUGGUAGACGCUGAACCAUUUCAGGAGGUGGCAUACGAUCAGAAAGGAACUGAUGGUAUUGAAGGAAGAAGUCUAAGCUGCAUUUAAGGCACUGGCAAAAACAAGGCUCCAGGAAUUACCGGAAUACCAAUUGACAUGUUUCAACAGUUGGAUGCAACACUGGAAGCGUUCACUCAUCUAUGCCAAGAAAUCUGAAAGACAGUUAACUGGGCAAAUGACUGGAAGGGACCCAUGUUUGUGCCCAUUCCACAGAAAAUGAUCCAAGAGAAUGCAGAAAUUAUCAAAGAAUAUCACUAGUAUCACAUGCAAGUAAAAUUUUGCUGAAGGUAUUUCAAAAACAUUUGUAGCAGUAUAUCAACAGGGAACUGCCAGAAAUUCAAGCCGGAUUCACAAGAGGACAUGAACAAGAGUAUCACUGCUGAUGUCAGAUGACUCUUGGCUGAAAGCAGAGAAUACCAGAAGGAUGUUUCCCUGUGUUUUAAUGGCUAUGGAAAGGUAUUCGACUACGUGGAUCAUAACAAAUUAUGGUAAAACUGCAAAGAAUGGGAAUUCCAGAACACUUAAUUAUGCUCAUGAGGGACCUGAACAUACUCCAAGAGGCAGGUGUUCAAACAGAACAAGGGGAUACUGCAUGAUUUAAAAUCAGGAAAGGUGUGCAUCAGGGUUGUAUCCUUUCACCAUACCUAUUCAGUCUGUAUGCUGAGCAAAUAAUCUGAGAAACUGGACUAUAUGUAGAAAACAUGGCAUAAAGAUUGGAGGAAAGGCUCACUAACAACCUGUGUUACACAGACGACACAACUUUGCUUGCUGAAAGUGAAGAGGACUUGAAGCACUUACUGAUGAAGAUCAAAGACUACAGCCUUCAUUAUGGAUUACACCUCAACAUAAAGAAAACAAAAAUCCUCACAACUGGACCUAUAAGCAACACCAUGAUAAACAGAGAAAAGACUGAAGUGUUUGAAAAUUUCAUUUUACCUGGAUUCACAAUGAAUGCCCUUGGUAAAAACAGUCAAGAAAUCAAACGAUGUAUUGCAUUGGCCAAGUCUGCUGCAAAAGACCUUUUUAAAGUGUCAAAAAGCAAAGAUGUCGCUUUGAGGAACAAGGUGCACCUGAUUCAAGCCAUGGUGUUUUCAAUCGCCUCAUAAGCAUGUGAAAGCUGGACAAUGAAUAAGGGAGACCAAAGAAUUGAUGGCUUUGAAUUACGGUGUUGGUGAAGAAUAUCGAAUAUAUCACGAACUGCCAGAAGAACGAACAAAUAUGUUUUAGAAGAAGUACAGCCAGAAUGCUCAUUAAAAAUAAGGAUGGGGAGACUUGGUCUCACAUACUUUGGACAUGUUAUCAGGAGGGACCAGUCCCUAGAGAAGAACAUUACGCUUUGUAAAGCAGAUAGUCAGUGAAAAAGAGGAGGACCCUCGACGAGAUGCACUGACACACUGGCUACAACAAUGCGCUCAAACACAGCAACAACUGUGAGGAUGGCACAGGACCUAGCAGUCUUUCAUUCUGUUGUACACAGGGUCAAUAUGAAUAGGAACCAACUCAAAAGCACUUAACAACAAUCUUUGUAUCCCUACCAAAUUCCUGGUACUGUGCACAGCACAUGGAAGACAUUCAGAAAAUGUCUGCUGAAUGAAUAAGACCUGAAUCUGUAACUAAGACAGCUAAGUAAAUUUAUGUCAUCCAUUGUGCAGGGUUUCCAAAAUGUCAUUCUAAUAUUAAAAUGCUUUGGCUAUAUAUGGCUAUUUAAAGACAAAAUGAUAUUCUCCCCCACAGUUUGAGAGGGUUUUCCAUUUUGUUAACCUUUAAAUGGUUUACUGGAAGAUCUAGAAUAAGAAAACGUUAUAUAAUGAUAUUUAAAAAAAAAAAAAAAAAAUUAAUUUUCAGGAUAAUUUAGAGCCUAUUAUAAUCAUAUCUCCCCCACCCGUCUGUCAGUUUGUCGUACUGUGGCGGCUUGUGUGUUGCUGUGAUGCUGUGACGCUAUGCCACCGGUAUUCAAAUACUAGCAGGGUCACCCGUGGUAGACAGGUUUCAGCGGAGCUUCCAUACUGAGAUAGACUAGGAAGAAGGGCCCAGCAGUCUACUUCUGAAAAGAAUUAGCCAGUGAAAACCUUAUGAAUAACAGCAGAACACUGUCUGGUAUAGUGCCAGAGGAUGAGCCCCUCAGGUUGGAAGGCACUCAAAAGACGACUGGGGAAGAGCUAUCGCCUCAAAGUAGAGUCGACCUUAAUGACGUGGAUGGAGUCAAGCUUUUGGGAUCUUCAUUUGCUGAUGUGGCAUGACUCAAAAUGAGAAGAAACAGCUGCAAACAUACAUUAAUAAUCAGAACCUGGUAUGUACGAAGUAUGACUCUAGGAAAAUUGAAAACUGUCAAAAAUGAAAUGGAACUCAAACACUGAUACUCUAGGCAUUAAUGAGCUGUAAUGGACUGUUAUCGGCCAUUUUGAAUCAGAUAAUCCUAUGGUCUACUAUACCAGGAAUGACAAAUUGAAGGGGAAGGUAUUGCAUUCACUGUAAAAAAAAAAAAAGAAA